UACGAAGGGGGCUAGCGUUGUUCGGAAUCACUGGGCGUAAAGCGCACGUAGGCGGACUUGUUAGUCAGGGGUGAAAUCCCAGGGCUCAACCCUGGAACUGCCUUUGAUACUGCAAGUCUCGAGUCCGGAAGAGGUGAGUGGAACUCCUAGUGUAGAGGUGAAAUUCGUAGAUAUUAGGAAGAACACCAGUGGCGAAGGCGGCUCACUGGUCCGGAUCUGACGCUGAGGUGCGAAAGCGUGGGGAGCAAACAGG
RNAcentral lists this ribosomal RNA (253 nucleotides) under uncultured bacterium. RNAcentral describes it as "partial 16S ribosomal RNA". It matches the Rfam family "Bacterial small subunit ribosomal RNA", at positions 524 to 776 of the family's 1533-position model. The record is from RNAcentral.